RNAcentral lists this ribosomal RNA (348 nucleotides) under uncultured bacterium. RNAcentral describes it as "bacterial SSU rRNA". It matches the Rfam family "Bacterial small subunit ribosomal RNA", at positions 542 to 888 of the family's 1533-position model. The record is from RNAcentral.
UGUCCGGAUUUACUGGGUGUAAAGGGUGCGUAGGCGGCUUUGCAAGUCAGAUGUGAAAUCUAUGGGCUCAACCCAUAAACUGCAUUUGAAACUGUAGAGCUUGAGUGAAGUAGAGGCAGGCGGAAUUCCCCGUGUAGCGGUGAAAUGCGUAGAGAUGGGGAGGAACACCAGUGGCGAAGGCGGCCUGCUGGGCUUUAACUGACGCUGAGGCACGAAAGCGUGGGUAGCAAACAGGAUUAGAUACCCUGGUAGUCCACGCUGUAAACGAUGAUUACUAGGUGUGGGGGGUCUGACCCCUUCCGUGCCGGAGUUAACACAAUAAGUAACUCCACCAGGGGAGUACGGCCG